RNAcentral lists this ribosomal RNA (1415 nucleotides) under beta proteobacterium ZP6. Its description in RNAcentral is "partial 16S ribosomal RNA". It matches the Rfam family "Bacterial small subunit ribosomal RNA", at positions 59 to 1097 of the family's 1533-position model. The record is from RNAcentral. Lineage: Bacteria; Pseudomonadati; Pseudomonadota; Betaproteobacteria.
AAGUCGAACGGUAACCGGUAGCUUGCUCCGCUGACGAGUGGCGAACGGGUGAGUAAUAUAUCGGAACGUACCCAAGAGUGGGGGAUAACGUGGCGAAAGUUACGCUAAUACCGCAUACGAUCCAAGGAUGAAAGCAGGGGACCUUCGGGCCUUGUGCUCCUGGAGCGGCCGAUAUCUGAUUAGCUAGUUGGUGAGGUAAAGGCUCACCAAGGCGACGAUCAGUAGCUGGUCUGAGAGGACGACCAGCCACACUGGAACUGAGCCAGGGUCAAACUCUCUACGGGAGGCAGCAGUGGGGAAUUUUGGACAAUGGGCGCAAGCCUGAUCCAGCAAUGCCGCGUGAGUGAAGAAGGCCUUCGGGUUGUAAAGCUCUUUUGUCAGGGAAGAAACGGGAUUGGCUAAUAUCCAGUCCUAAUGACGGUACCUGAAGAAUAAGCACCGGCUAACUACGUGCCAGCAGCCGCGGUAAUACGUAGGGUGCAAGCGUUAAUCGGAAUUACUGGGCGUAAAGCGUGCGCAGGCGGUUUUGUAAGUCUGACGUGAAAUCCCCGGGCUCAACCUGGGAAUUGCGAUGGAGACUGCAAGGCUAGAAUCUGGCAGAGGGGGGUAGAAUUCCACGUGUAGCAGUGAAAUGCGUAGAGAUGUGGAGGAACACCGAUGGCGAAGGCAGCCCCCUGGGUCAAGAUUGACGCUCAUGCACGAAAGCGUGGGGAGCAAACAGGAUUAGAUACCCUGGUAGUCCACGCCCUAAACGAUGUCUACUAGUUGUCGGGUUUUAAUUAACUUGGUAACGCAGCUAACGCGUGAAGUAGACCGCCUGGGGAGUACGGUCGCAAGAUUAAAACUCAAAGGAAUUGACGGGGACCCGCACAAGCGGUGGAUGAUGUGGAUUAAUUCGAUGCAACGCGAAAAACCUUACCUACCCUUGACAUGUCAGGAAGACCGGAGAGAUUUGGUUGUGCCCGAAAGGGAACCUGAACACAGGUGCUGCAUGGCUGUCGUCAGCUCGUGUCGUAAGGGGGUGGUCAAGCCCCACCCGCCGUUUCAACGUCAAUAGCUGGAACUAAGCUCUAACACAUUUUUAAAGAAAAGCAUCUCCCUGUCUUGCGCGGUCAAUCGAACAAGCAAAGGGUGACACGCGCCAAUUUUUUUCUUGCCUUAUAACUAUCUGAUGACGUGACAUAGGAGAGCGACGGCCUCUGGCGCGGAGAGCAGAAAAUGUUCAAGGUUUGCCUAAGUUAUGUAGGUCUGGUAAACCUUCAACUGCGGUCGUCUCCGGCGCAGAGGCCGACGCACCCGAAUACACGUCAGACCAUGGUUAACUCUCCGAGCAACAACGGCGCGGAGAACACAUGUUCAGGCGAAUGAGCGCCAUCGCGCAGGAUGCUGCCCGAAAAGAUAAAUGGCUAGCGAGU